AAUAGAGACUGGUAUGAAUGGCACCACGAAGGUUCAACUGUCUCCCAAAUCUAAUCAGUGAAACUGAUCUCCCCGUGCAGAAGCGGGGAUUUCCACAUAAGACGAGAAGACCCUAUGGAGCUUUAAACUAGGACCACCUGUUUUUCUUUUCAAACCAAUCAGGCAUAACCACUAGCUAAGCAGAUCUGGCUCCCUUGUUUUCGGUUGGGGCGACCACGGAGAAAAAAAAAUCCUCCAUGAAGAAAGGAAAUCUCUCCUAAACCAAGAACCACAUUUCUAAGUAUCAGAACUUCUGACUAUAAUUGAUCCAGUCUGACUGAUCAACGAACCAAGUUACCCUAGGGAUAACAGCGCAAUCUAUUUUAAGAGUUCAUAUCGACAAAUAGGUUUACGACCUCGAUGUUGGAUCAGGGCCCCCCAGUGGUGCAGCCGCUACUAACGGUUNGUUUGUU
This 452-nucleotide ribosomal RNA is filed under the name Rhinophrynus dorsalis (Mexican burrowing toad). RNAcentral's name for it is "partial 16S ribosomal RNA". It matches the Rfam family "Bacterial large subunit ribosomal RNA", at positions 1979 to 2581 of the family's 2925-position model. The record is from RNAcentral. Lineage: Eukaryota; Metazoa; Chordata; Amphibia; Anura; Rhinophrynidae.